GCCGAAGUGGCGAAAUUGGUAGACGCGCUGCGUUCAGGGCGCAGUGGGGCUUGCCCCCGUGGAGGUUCGAGUCCUCUCUUCGGCACCA
This 88-nucleotide transfer RNA is filed under the name Gemmatimonadota bacterium. Its description in RNAcentral is "Gemmatimonadetes bacterium tRNA-Leu". It matches the Rfam family "tRNA". Rfam says of the family: Transfer RNA (tRNA) molecules are approximately 80 nucleotides in length. Their secondary structure includes four short double-helical elements and three loops (D, anti-codon, and T loops). The record is from RNAcentral. Lineage: Bacteria; Pseudomonadati; Gemmatimonadota.